Drosophila ananassae is the source of this 869-nucleotide long non-coding RNA. RefSeq lists it as uncharacterized. The record is from RefSeq and is a predicted model, not a curated record. The transcript has 4 exons. Lineage: Eukaryota; Metazoa; Arthropoda; Insecta; Diptera; Drosophilidae.
AUAUGAAACGUAAAAAUUUGCUUUUUCUGCCAACUCUCGAAAUCCAGAAUUUUUUCAUUUUUCAAUUCAAGACAAAACUAACACUACUUAAAAAUUGGUGUAUGUAUAUAAGGUUUAUGAAGAGGUGUUAUUCGGAUAUUUGAAUGCCAAUUAAAAAUUAAAAUUUAAAGAAUGAUGAAUUCCACUGCUGGUUCGUCCCAGAAAGUCGGAGAAAAGGUAUUUCCGCACCCUCAAGGCCUGGGGUCAUUAUCAACAAAUGUCGCCCCAGGAAUUCUCAAGUGCAUAUUGCUGCGAUGCCAGCUGGCCUAAUGAGACAUUAGCCGGGAAAAAGAAAGGGGAACGGGAUGCUGGAGAAUGGCCCUGAAAACAACACUCUGAAAAGGUAGCCAAGAGGAAAAAUCAUUUCAAAAUCCCCAAAGACACAUACCUCGAUGCCGGCCCGACUCUUGCUGUCCACAUUCGAGCUGCUGAACUCGGUGUCCUCGACGGUGUUGACCGUGUUUGUUGAGUUGCCGUCGACGAGGCCCAGAGCCCUGCCCCCGGAUCCGGCUCCAGCACCGGCACCGGCUCCGGCUCCACCAGUGCUUCCGGCCUUGGUCUUGGCCGUGGAGAAUCUGCCAAGGCGUAGACGCAGUCGAUUAAGUUUCGUAUCUGUUGCCGCACCUCCGUCCGGCUGAAAGAGAGAGACAGAUGCAAACGGGAAGAGUGAGAGGUGGCUAGAGUAUCUGGGCGAUAAAGUUUUCUAGUUGUAUCUGCAUUGAUUUUUCGCCUUUGACCCGUGUGCAUGGCUUCGAAUUAAAUUCAUACUUCUUCGCACAGCAUUAAAAUGAAUAACAAAGGCCGGCCGGCCAGAGCCGAACCAAAAUUUA